UAUCCCUUUUUUUUUUGGGUGAACAAGGGAGGGGUAAGAACCCCCAACAACCAAAGAAACUAAACAACACAAAUCAUACGAGGUUUAGACAACCCCAACAGGUCAUCCACCAACACAGAGCCAAGCCAAUCAGGAGCCUCAUCAAGCAAAUACAAACCCAGAUCCAGGAUCCCCACGCAACUAGACACCAAAGCAGCAAGAAGAUGAAGGAGGAGAAGAUUGUGUUGUUGGAUUAGUUGAACUGCAAUAGCAGAAUCCAUCUCAAUGAUGAGUUUAGACAUUCUACUAUCAGCAGCAAGCUUCAAACCAAAGAGAAGACCCCAAAGUUCAGCCUCCAGCACCUGGCCUAUCCCUAAAUUAAUAGCAAAACCACCAUUCCACUCUCCAAGUGAAUUUCGAAGGACCCCUCCAGCACCAAUACAUCCAGAAGCAGCCCGUCGAGAGCCGUCCACAUUGAGCUUGAAGGUACCACGAACAGGAGGGCUCCAAGCAAGAAAAACCUGUGUUUUAACAGAAGCAGCUGUGGAACAUGCAAGGAAAGUUCAAGGAAGACUGAAGGAAAAUGAACCAUUUGGAAAGGAGCCUGAAAUCAUAUGUGCUUUCCUUGUCACUGGCAGAGUUG
Molecule: non-coding RNA, 622 nt
Organism: Prunus avium (sweet cherry)
Lineage: Eukaryota; Viridiplantae; Streptophyta; Magnoliopsida; Rosales; Rosaceae
Source: RefSeq, a predicted model, not a curated record